AGUUUGAUCCUGGCUCAGGAUGAACGCUAGCGACAGGCUUAACACAUGCAAGUCGAGGGGCAGCGGGUAGAUGAGCUUGCUCAUUUAUGCCGGCGACCGGCGCACGGGUGAGUAACACGUAUGCAACCUGCCCGUCUCAGGGGGAUAAUCGUCGGAAACGGCGUCUAAUACCCCGUAUGAAGCUGGACGGCAUCGUCUGGUUUUGAAAGAAUAUAGGAGGCGGAUGGGCAUGCGGCGCAUUAGCUGGUUGGCGGGUAACGGCCCACCAAGGCAACGAUGCGUAGGGGUUCUGAGAGGAAGGUCCCCCACACUGGUACUGAGACACGGACCAGACUCCUACGGGAGGCAGCAGUGAGGAAUAUUGGUCAAUGGGCGAGAGCCUGAACCAGCCAAGUCGCGUGAGGGAGUACUGCCCUAUGGGUUGUAAACCUCUUUUGUCGGGGAGCAAAAGCCGGACGUGUCCGUCUGUGAGAGUACCCGAAGAAAAGCAUCGGCUAACUCCGUG
RNAcentral lists this ribosomal RNA (505 nucleotides) under uncultured Bacteroidales bacterium. Its description in RNAcentral is "bacterial SSU rRNA". It matches the Rfam family "Bacterial small subunit ribosomal RNA", at positions 10 to 507 of the family's 1533-position model. Lineage: Bacteria; Pseudomonadati; Bacteroidota; Bacteroidia; Bacteroidales. The record is from RNAcentral.